Molecule: ribosomal RNA, 247 nt
Filed under: uncultured bacterium
Lineage: Bacteria
Description: partial small subunit ribosomal RNA
Rfam family: Bacterial small subunit ribosomal RNA
Source: RNAcentral
AGAAUCAACGCUGGCGGCGUGCCUAACACAUGCAAGUCGCACGAGAAAGCGGGAGCAAUCCUGUGAGUAAAGUGGCGUACGGGUGAGUAACACGUGAAUCAUCUACCUUCGAGUGCGGAAUAACUGAGAGAAAUCUUAGCUAAUACCGCAUAAUACCCACGGGUCAAAGCAGCAAUGCGCUUGAAGAGGAGUUCGCGGCAGAUUAGUUAGUUGGCGGGGUAAUGGCCCACCAAGACGAUGAUCUGUA